Bactrocera tryoni is the source of this 750-nucleotide long non-coding RNA. RefSeq lists it as uncharacterized. The transcript has 3 exons. Lineage: Eukaryota; Metazoa; Arthropoda; Insecta; Diptera; Tephritidae. The record is from RefSeq and is a predicted model, not a curated record.
CGUAAAAGUUUGUACGCUUUCGGGCUCGUUGAAUAUAGCGUGAUCGACUUAGCUAUGUCUUCUUCUUUCCAAUUCCGCCGUUUAUUUCCAUCCCUUAAUUUUUCAAUCUAUGUAUGUGUAAUGAAUUUUAAUAUAUUUUGCAAUAUACUUUUUAGAAUUUGGGCACUUACCUGGCAGUUGGUGAAAAUGCAGUUUUUGCUCUAAAUUAUUUCUGUGGAAUUCCGAGGUUUUAAUGGAAAUCCUAAGGCGUUUAAUUUCUGCUGACUGCUCGUUUUUGCACUUAUUCAAAGUUCUAACACUAUUCAGCCUUUGUCUAAAAAGAAUAAGAAAUACACAUACUUAUUAUUUUCUCGUCUUUCUCCUUGAUGACCUCCUCUCCUGCAGUUUGAGGUGCCUAUCCAACCUCGUCUUCUCGGGACUCCAUCCUUUUCUGCCGUUCAUUAGCCUCUGCAGGAGCAGUGGUUAACGUGGGAAAAGCGCUAGGUAACAACUUAGUUGGAUUCCGCGAACUUAAACCUGCAAGAGUGUUUGGUUAUAAAGAGCCAUUAAAAAGGAAGCGGAGAGGACGUUUUGCGAAUAAGGAAGACGAUAAAAGGCGAGAUACUACUCGAAAUGAAGAUGGCCCAGAUGAAGAACACGGGAGCAUAAGAAAAGGAAAUAUGCAAGGUUUUAGACGACCAGGCGCUAAUAAGAGCCAAAACCCACUAGGUAUUAGUGGAGAUCCGAGACCUGGACAAAAUAACCACUAAA